CAGAGUCUUCAGAACUCCAAACCUUUGUGAACCUAUACAUUGUUGCUUCGGCGGGCUGCCGGGCGGCCCAGCGCCCCCGCGUCGCCCGCCGAAGGCCCAAACUCUUGUUUUCUAGCGGUAUCUUCUGAGUCUAUAAAUAAGCAAUCA
RNAcentral lists this unclassified non-coding RNA (147 nucleotides) under uncultured Ascomycota. Its description in RNAcentral is "sequence contains ITS1". The record is from RNAcentral. Lineage: Eukaryota; Fungi; Ascomycota.